RNAcentral lists this ribosomal RNA (780 nucleotides) under uncultured Ascomycota. Its description in RNAcentral is "LSU rRNA". It matches the Rfam family "Eukaryotic large subunit ribosomal RNA", at positions 436 to 1236 of the family's 3401-position model. The record is from RNAcentral. Lineage: Eukaryota; Fungi; Ascomycota.
CCUGCCUGCAGUUGCUCAUCCGGGCUUUUGCCCGGUGCACUCUUCUGCUGUCAGGCCAGCAUCAGUUCGGGCGGUCGGAUAAAGGCUUCGGGAAUGUAGCUCCUCUCGAGGAGUGUUAUAGCCCGUUGCGAAAUGCGGCCAGCUUGGACUGAGGUCCGCGCUUCGGCUAGGAUGCUGGCGUAAUGGUUGUAAGCGGCCCGUCUUGAAACACGGACCAAGGAGUCUAACAUCUGUGCGAGUGUUUGGGUGUCAAACCCGUACGCGUAAUGAAAGUGAACGGAGGCGGGAACCCCUCGGGGUGCACCGUCGACCGAUCCUGAUGUCUUCGGAUGGAUUUGAGUAAGAGCAUAGCUGUUGGGACCCGAAAGAUGGUGAACUAUGCCUGAAUAGGGUGAAGCCAGAGGAAACUCUGGUGGAGGCUCGCAGCGGUUCUGACAUGCAAAUCGAUCGUCAAAUUUGGGCAUAGGGGCGAAAGACUAAUCGAACUAUCUAGUAGCUGGUUCCUGCCGAAGUUUCCCUCAGGAUAGCAGUAACGUUUUCAGUUUUAUGAGGUAAAGCGAAUGAUUAGAGGCCUGGGGGUUGAAACAACCUUCACCUAUUCUCAAACUUUAAAUAUGUAAGAAGUCCUUGUUACUUAGUUGAACGUGGACAUUUGAAUGUAUCGUUACUAGUGGGCCAUUUUUGGUAAGCAGAACUGGCGAUGCGGGAUGAACCGAACGCGGAGUUAAGGUGCCGGAAUGCACGCUCAUCAGACACCACAAAAGGUGUUGGUUCAUCUAG